CUCCGUCCCGCGGAAAAUGUCGCGACCCCCGUUUUGCAAAAACGCCAUCCUAGUUUCUCCGACCAAACCUGCAGUCCUCCGCAUCAUCUCCUUCCCCUCCGCGCGUCCCCUUCCCCUCCCUCCGCCGCUCCGUCGCCGGCUCGCCACUCCAUAGGCGGCCACCCCGCCGUCGCCCGCGCCGCGGAGCUCCGCGCCUCCUCCCGCUCUAUUCCCCGCUUAGUUCCUGCGCUCCCUCCUCCACUCCACCGCGCCUCCAUCCACUCCCCCGUAGCUAAAUAUCGACUAUUUCUCCCGCGAUUCGGACGGUCGGCGUACUCCGGCGGUUCGGCACCAGAUAAAGGUGGAGCGGCUUCGCUUAGGAGAAGAGGCGCUCGAUCUGGAGUUCAUGGCGACGAGGGAGGCGAUGAGCUGGUGCUGUGGUGCUGGGUGCGACGAGGCGGACGAAGCUUCCACCUUUUUCCUCCAUGGUCGACGGCGGCGCAGCAGUGGGUGGUGGCGACGCGGCUUGGAGAACGUCCGGCCCUCUUUCCCGUCGUUCCCAAUCUCAUUGGUAUGCUACAGCAAUCAACGGUUUCUCUCUCUGGUGUCUCUGUUCGUGAACUUGGGCGGCGACUGAGCAUAUGGUGCUGUGAACGUGAUUGGCCGGCGGCGGCGGUCACACGGCCUCCAUCGCGCCUCCUCUUGGCCGCACGGUGAACAGGCCAGCAGGGACUCACGCUUGUGGACUCGCGGUCGCAAUUGCAGGCUGCCGGGUGCCGGCCCCUCAUCUCUCCGGUCUCCGGCCAUCCGACGAACUCUUUCCCUGCCUUCAAGUUUCAGGGCACCAAAGCAUCAGGCAUCAAGGAGGAGACACCAUCUUCCUCAAAACCUACAUCAAAUGCCACUGUUUCCUCAAAAAGUUCCCGUGCCUGUAUCUCCUAUGAGGACUGUUCAUCUUGCUGUGGCUCCAGUCACUACACAAGAUUUAGUAUCCAGAUUUAAGUCUACACUACGAGUCAAAAGGUAGGCUUCUUCAGCUUUACUGUUUUACAAUUUAAAGCUGUGACAUUGUAUUGUACUCCUACUCUGAAUAAUUAAUGUUAACCGUAUACAUUAGCUAGUUCUAUCAUAUUGUAUUGACGCUGUUUACUUGACACUGAUUUAGUGAAGACAGGAAUGAAGCAUAUUGUUUCCUUGCUGGCUGGCUCUCCGCCAUGCUGCCGCCACGGGCAAUGCUGCUACAAUCUGAGCUUUUGGAUGUCAGCAUAUAAAAGACAACAUUACUUGCUUUGAUUUGUUCCACAAUGUACUUGGUAGCGUUGAUAUCUUUGCACAUUUUCUUUCUUUCUGCAGAAAUGUAGUGUAGGGUGGCAAGAUUGCAAAUUUUCUGAGCUCUGCACAGUUUUCAGUAGAAACAUUUUCUGUAUUUUUUGUUUGUUUUAAUGGUAGAAGGAACCUCUAGGAGACAUGUGAAAGGACUGAAGAGUAACAUAAAACGAGAACAGUCAUCUACUCUUUAGGAACGAGAUAUUACUGGUGUGCUAAUGUCUAGAGUUUGAUUUCUCAUUACUCUGUUCAAUAUGCAAUUGACAUUAGCUGCAAAUUUCAGUUCACAUGGCUGGACUAGCUUCGCUGGUGAAGAAAUAUUGUGGUGGUUGCAAGAGAUAUGUUGACCAUAUGGAUAAAAACAUAAAAUGUUUCCGUAGGCAUAUGGCUGCUGAUUUUAGACAUGGCAUGGUGCCCAUUAUAAUUUCUGUGUCUCAAUGUGCCCAAAAUUUUUUUGUUCACAAAGUUUAACAUGCAUGAUCUCAAUAACCAUCGAACUAGAAUCUCCUAAUGGCGAUAUGCAUCCUAUUGAGGUUUCAAGCAUACGAGUAAGACAGUCCUCCGCCGUGGAUGGGAUGCAUUUAUAGAUGUUGACAGGCUGUGGCAGACCUCGAACCUUCCCAGACGUAGCCCAGGCGGGCGAGCUCAAGGAUGAAGCCCAGGCGAACGAGCUGACGGACGCAGUCGGAGGAGGGCCCUAAGGGCGAGUCGGGCGGAGGAGGCGGCAGGGGGCAGGCCAAGUCGGGCAGGGGCUCCUCUGCGCCCCACCAGCUCGGGGAGCCCAUGCGGCAGAGUUCCGCGUCCUCCGCUAGGGAGCAGCCGGCGGUGGAGAUGCGGCCGGAUGCGAGGAACGGCGAGGACGGCCAGGGAGGAGAAGAACAGAACUUGGAUUUCAGAUCUGAAGGUUCAAAACGGAGAAGAACUGAGUAUCUGGGGGGUUUUCUGUAAAAGUUAGAAUGACUAGCCGCUCCGACAUUUUCCACGGGACGGAGGGAGU
Molecule: non-coding RNA, 2302 nt
Organism: Lolium perenne
Lineage: Eukaryota; Viridiplantae; Streptophyta; Magnoliopsida; Poales; Poaceae
Source: RefSeq, a predicted model, not a curated record